GUGCUUGCUUUGGCAGCACAUAUACUAAAAUUGGAAUGAUACGAGAAGAUUAGCAUGGCCCCUGUGCAAAGAAAAAUAGAACAGAAGCGGGGGUGGGGGGCAUAUGU
Molecule: small nuclear RNA, 107 nt
Organism: Mastomys coucha (southern multimammate mouse)
Lineage: Eukaryota; Metazoa; Chordata; Mammalia; Rodentia; Muridae
Source: RefSeq, a predicted model, not a curated record